UCCCAGCUUCACUUAAGUAUCAUUUUUUUUUUUUUGACCAAUAAAGCCUAGGAGAACAAUUCAAAUACCCUCUCUAUCCCUCAAAACCCUCACCUCUCUGCUAUUUAUACAUGCGCGUAGAACCAUGGCCGCCACAAAAACCCUCGUCUCUCCCAAGUCUCAACCACACAUGUCCUCACCUGUCACAUAGGAUGAAUACCGCAGAUAACCGGCCUGGACAACAUCACACCAUCCUCAAAAAAUCUAAAAUGCAAGAAGAGGAAGUAAUGACAUCCUAACCAUUGCACUGGCAGUCUGAAAAUAUUGGUCCAAGCACUUUCAAAGUGAUAAUUUAGGUAGUCUAUAGUUGAUACUUCUACAAUGGUAAUUUGGGUGAGAACCAAGGAUGUCAAAAAGUGCAAUUUUUUAUUUUCACAAUUUAUUUAUUUUUUACAUUGUCCAUGUGUUCGAAGUUAUGGUAAAUGUCUAAUAUCUUUGUUUCUUGCUGUAGAGCAAGCAAUUAAAAGGGCAUAGGGUUAAUUAAUAACGUCAUUGCUUAUUGCACGAUGUAUUAGAAUAAUGGUCCUAAUUAACUAUUUCAUACGGCACCAUUAGGAGAGGCCAAUAUGUUUGUGUCAAUUGAUAUUGUGAAAGUAAUAGAUGCCCUUUUUCUUGUACCUAUCCAUAGAGAGAUGACUAUUCUAGAAGAGGCAACUGGGUGUCACAUGGCAUGACCCAGAUAUCUCAGGAGAGGCAAACUGGGUGAUACUAAGAUUUUUGGGCUAUCAUGCUACAUGACACCCAACCGUCUCUUGAACAAUAGAGUUCUCUCCAAGAUAGGUGCAGGAAAAGACCUCAAUUACCUUAACAACAUCAAUUGACACACGCAUAUUGCCCUCCCCUAGUGGUGCCAUAUGACGUGGUUCCUUAGGUCCAUUUUCUCAUGCAUUGUGCCAUGAGCAACAAUGAUAUUACUAUAUACCAUAAAUCCACAACGCAUGAACAAUGUAAAUAAUAAACUUUGUGGUAAUAAAAUAUUGCUCCUUUUGGCGUUACAUGUCAUCCUUGGUUCUCCUCCUAUUUUCCAUUACAGAAGUAUCAAUUUGUAGAAUGCCUAGAUUAUCACUUCUAAAAGUGUUUGAGCCAAUACUUUUAAGUUGAGCUUGCCCUCACUGCCCAAAUAUUAAGCUGAGCUUGCCCUUACUACCUAUGCCUUUGUUGGAUUGUGGGGAGCUUGUUGGAGGCACUUGGAUUAAAGUUUGGGGGUUUUCUAUGCUUUGGGGUUGUUUUCUCAAUACCAUUGCUUGAUUUUUUUAACUCCUUUUUUCCAUUGCCGAUUUCGAUGUUUUUGGUCCAUAGAUGUCAUAGCCAUUGUUUUUGUUUUUAUGAUACAGAUUUACACAUCGGAUCUUCUUGAUGUCCGUUGAUACUAUCAGCACCAUGUAACAGUUUGAAAUUUUAAUGAAAACAAUAUAAUUUUAAUUUAAU
This is a long non-coding RNA of Rhododendron vialii, 1467 nucleotides long. RefSeq lists it as uncharacterized. Lineage: Eukaryota; Viridiplantae; Streptophyta; Magnoliopsida; Ericales; Ericaceae. The transcript is spliced from 2 exons. The record is from RefSeq and is a predicted model, not a curated record.